CACGUAGGGCGCAAGCGUUGUCCGGAAUUAUUGGGCGUAAAGAGCUCGUAGGCGGUCUGUUGCGUCCGCUGUGAAAACCCGGGGCUUAACCCCUGGCUUGCAGUGGAUACGGACAGACUAGAGGUAGGUAGGGGAGAAUGGAAUUCCCGGUGUAGCGGUGAAAUGCGCAGAUAUCAGGAGGAACACCGAUGGCGAAGGCAGGUCUCUGGGCAUUAACUGACGCUGAGGAGCGAAAGCAUGGGGAGCGAACAGG
Molecule: ribosomal RNA, 253 nt
Filed under: uncultured bacterium
Lineage: Bacteria
Description: partial 16S ribosomal RNA
Rfam family: Bacterial small subunit ribosomal RNA
Source: RNAcentral